RNAcentral lists this ribosomal RNA (332 nucleotides) under uncultured bacterium. RNAcentral describes it as "bacterial SSU rRNA". It matches the Rfam family "Bacterial small subunit ribosomal RNA", at positions 568 to 898 of the family's 1533-position model. The record is from RNAcentral.
CACGUAGGCGGCUGUCUAAGUCAGAUGUGAAAGCCCGGGGCUCAACCUCGGAAGUGCAUUUGAAACUGGAUGGCUUGAGUAUGGGAGAGGGAAGUGGAAUUCCUGGUGGAGAGGUGAAAUUCGUAGAUAUCAGGAGGAACACCGGUGGCGAAGGCGACUUCCUGGACCAAUACUGACGCUGAGGUGCGAAGGCGUGGGGAGCAAACAGGAUUAGAUACCCUGGUAGUCCACGCAGUAAACGGUGAUCACUAGGUGUAGCGGGUAUUGACCCCUGCUGUGCCGCAGCUAACGCAAUAAGUGAUCCGCCUGGGAAGUACGGCCGCAAGGUUAAA